This 449-nucleotide ribosomal RNA is filed under the name uncultured bacterium. RNAcentral's name for it is "partial 16S ribosomal RNA". It matches the Rfam family "Bacterial small subunit ribosomal RNA", at positions 29 to 523 of the family's 1533-position model. The record is from RNAcentral.
AACGAACGCUGGCGGCAGGCCUAACACAUGCAAGUCGAGCGCCGUAGCAAUACGGAGCGGCAGACGGGUGAGUAACACGUGGGAACGUGCCCAAAGGUACGGAACAACUCCGGGAAACUGGAGCUAAUACCGUAUGUGCCCGAGAGGGGAAAGAUUUAUCGCCUUUGGAUCGGCCCGCGUCUGAUUAGCUAGUUGGUGAGGUAACGGCUCACCAAGGGGACGAUCAGUAGCUGGUCUGGGAGGAUGGCCAGCCACACUGGGACUGAGACACGGCCCAGACUCCUACGGGAGGCAGCAGUGGGGAAUAUUGGACAAUGGGCGCAAGCCUGAUCCAGCCAUGCCGCGUGAGUGAUGAAGGCCUUAGGGUUGUAAAGCUCUUUCGCCAGGGACGAUAAUGACGGUACCUGGAUAAGAAGCCCCGGCUAACUUCGUGCCAGCAGCCGCCGUAA